GAACCCGUGGCUCAAAUGGCUAGAGCGUUAGACUUAUAAUCAACAGGUAGCGGGUUCA
Molecule: transfer RNA, 58 nt
Filed under: Schistocephalus solidus
Lineage: Eukaryota; Metazoa; Platyhelminthes; Cestoda; Diphyllobothriidea; Diphyllobothriidae
Rfam family: tRNA
About the family: Transfer RNA (tRNA) molecules are approximately 80 nucleotides in length. Their secondary structure includes four short double-helical elements and three loops (D, anti-codon, and T loops).
Source: Rfam by way of RNAcentral